AUCACUUCUCGGCCUUUUGGCUAAGAUCAAGUGUAGAAUAAAAUUUCACCCAGGAUUUAGUGAAGUUCUUUUGUGGGAAAUUUCAAGCAGAGACUCAAACCCAGGUUUUGUGUCCUUGAUAUUAUAAUACUAAAAUAUUCAAAUUUUAAUUUAUGAUCUGAUUU
Small nuclear RNA from Heterocephalus glaber (naked mole-rat), 164 nucleotides. Its record names the gene U2. It matches the Rfam family "U2 spliceosomal RNA". Rfam says of the family: U2 is a small nuclear RNA (snRNA) component of the spliceosome (involved in pre-mRNA splicing). Complementary binding between U2 snRNA (in an area lying towards the 5' end but 3' to hairpin I) and the branchpoint sequence (BPS) of the intron results the bulging out of an unpaired adenosine, on the BPS, which initiates a nucleophilic attack at the intronic 5' splice site, thus starting the first of two transesterification reactions that mediate splicing. Lineage: Eukaryota; Metazoa; Chordata; Mammalia; Rodentia; Bathyergidae. The record is from Ensembl.